UUUGAGAACAGGAUUUCUCAGUGUGCAGGAAGACAGUAUCAACCAUGGAGCUAUUCUACUUUUCGCCUGCAGUGCGUCCAUUUUCUGGUUACAGCUGGCUUUCUCUGAGUCGUUCUUUUUAUGAGCCCGUUUUUACUUUUUUUUUUUGGCUAAAUAAAUGUAACGAAGGACUGAGCCUCGCAAACUACACCCAACUAGAGCCUUGGUGUUUAUCUGCUUUAUCAGGCACCCUCUAGAUUCGGGUCGGGUCCCCAGGUCCAAGGCCCGAGGCCCUUUUCAACACCUCGCUUUCUCAGGACCUCUUGACACGUGAGUUGGCAGGUCGGCUCUUCUCACAUCCUAUUGGCUAAAGCCCGCGCCUCUCACCGCGAGGGGGACGGGUCACAGAACCUCUGGGCGCGGGGGGAUGACGUCACGUCGGCGACGGGGCUUCGGUUGAAAACUGGCCGACCCUGCUGGCUGGAAGACCGCGUAGCUGGGACGGCGCUACGAUGACCAUUUGCCAGUUUUUCCUUCAAGGCCGGUGCCGCUUCGGAGACCGCUGCUGGAACGAGCACCCUGGCACCCGGGGCGCGGGCCUGGCCCGGCAGCCGCCACCACAGCAGCAGCCGCCGCCCUCAGGAAGCAACAGGCGCGGGUGGAAUGCCACCAGCCAGAGGUACUCCAAUGUCAUCCAGCCAUCCAGCUUUUCCAAGUCUACGCCAUGGGGUGGCAGCAGAGAUCAAGACAAACCAGUAUUCGGCUCCUUUGACUCUGGCGCUUCCACCAGCAGAGGCUUUGGAUCGUCUCAAAACCCUUUUGCAUCACCUGUCUCUGAUGAGCAGAAAGAUGAAAAAAAACUUCUGGAAGGAAUUGUUAAAGAUGUAGAGAUUUGGGAAUCAUCGGGGCAGUGGAUGUUUUCUGUUUACUCACCAGUGAAAAAGAAACCUAACAUCUCAGGUUUCACAGACAUUUCACCAGAAGAGUUGAGGCUUGAAUACCAUAACUUCUUAACCAGCAAUAACUUACAGAGCUAUCUAAAUUCUGUUCAACAGCUAGUAAGUCUAUGGAGGAAUAGGAUAAAUGAACUGAAAAAUCUAAAUAUGUCAACCAAAGGAACUCUGCUCUCUGAUGUCAAGGAUGGAGCCAGUCAAGCAGCGCCUGCAUUUGGAUUUGGAAGCAAGCAAGCAGGGACGUUUGGAUCAUCAGGUUUUCCAGUGGAUAACAGCAGCAGCAAUAAUGUUCAGAACUUUAGUUUUAAAACAAGCUCUGGAUUUGCCACUGCCUCUUCUGGAAGCACGCCCGUGUUUGGAAAUCACCCAGCCUUUGGGACCGGGCCCUCUGCUGGUUCUGCCGUCGCUUCCUCCACUCCAGCCUUUGGAUUUGGGAAACCUGAAGCCACAUCUGCUGCUUCAUUUUCGUUCAAGAGCCCUGACACUUCUGGUUUUGGAUCACCUGGGUUUUCAGGGUUUCCAUCUUCCUUAGCAGUGAGUCCUUUCGGCCCUGCAAUGGCCCCUGCCUUCGGAAGUGGCGGAUCUGUGGCUGGUUUUGGUAGCCCUGGCUCACAGUCUCAGAAUUUAUUUGCCAAACCUUCUAAUGACACAUUUGGAGGUAGCAGCCUAUCAGCCUCCCUCCCGGUCUCUGCCACAAAUAAUGUACUGUUCACCCCCAGGGAUCAGCUGACAAAAGAGGAGCUGGAACAGUUUCAGUCGCAGAGAUUUACUCUGGGGAAAAUCCCACUGAAGCCACCACCCGUGGAGCUCCUGACCAUAUAAAGGGCGGUGUCCAAUACAGAUCGGCUUUAGCCAGGCGUGUGGCGUAUGCCGGUAGUUUGGGAGGCUGAGAGAAGAAAUGCCACAAAUUCAGGGCCAGCUUGGACUGCACAGAGUGUGAGCUGCCAUACCACUCCCCACCAUGAUAGCCUGAAAACUGAAGCUGUGAGCCAGCCAGCCUUGCCUUAAGCUGCUGAAGCUGACACCUCACCACGGCACCGGAUGAGGACCACUGUAGCCAGCCCUACCUGGAUGCUGCCCUGGGCGCAUCAGAGCUAGAGAAGAGCACUGUCGGAAGAGCACUGUGGACAGCAUUGCCAACACCCUGAGGUUGCCUCUCUGCUCUGCGAGCAGUUUCGCAGUGUUUGAUACUACUGGACCUACAAGCCCAGCACCGGCCCAGAGGUGGAUUUCACAAGACAGGCCAGGGAGGGGGAUCUUUAUAGGGAGAAAUACCACCUUAGGUGGCUCGGUGAUAGGGAGAAUGGCGGCAGGGCUUGACUUCGGAACCCCAGCUUUCUCAGUGGCCAUGGAGCUUCUAACUAUCCAAAGCUGAGACCCAAAUAAGCUGCCACAGGGAGAGGAAAACUCAGGAUGGGGAGAAAGGCCACCGGCAUGACUCUGCCAUCUCUGGCCUCAUGUACUUCUUUGUCCAGGGUAGAGACCACAGCCAUCAAUACCUGUUCUUUAUCACCUCUGAGACUUUAACUCUGGCUCCGCUUCCUCCAAACCUAGCCCACCUGCAACCCUCUUGACACAAAGUUCCCCCCACAGUCUUGACACCACCUCCUGUUCCAAACACAGUGCUCACCCGGCCCCACCGUCUCCUGUGUGAGAAAUAUCCCCAGAUCCAAACUCGCAUGCUGCUAAUACCUGUCAGCAGUAGUCCCUCUUUCCACGCCUUCCACAGAGUGUUCACUCAGGCUGCAGAAUCUCCUUCCAGGAAGAGACCAGUGCCGACCUCACUGUCCAGAGUGUACCCUCAUUCUGCUUCUUUCGGGGCUACUCUUCUCUUAAACACAGUGGAACCACCCCCAGAGCUGGUGUCGCUCCACCCGCAGCGUGUCCACAGGAGCCCUGCCGCCAACAGUCCCCUCUGCAGCCUGGGCAGCAGCUGGCCACUUGGGACACAGAGGUGGGGCUGCUUUUCCCAGAACUCCGGUGUCGGGGACACAGCGAUCAGGGUUUUCACGCCUUCACAUGGAGUCACUGGUGUUUUUAACUUUUUUAUCUACCUGUAUUUAGGUAUCUCACACAUGUACAUACAUGUAUUUGCACCACAUAU
RNA transcript from Peromyscus leucopus (white-footed mouse), 3036 nucleotides. It is a transcript of the gene named nucleoporin 42, with no coding region annotated. The transcript has 8 exons. The record is from RefSeq and is a predicted model, not a curated record. NCBI's taxonomy places the organism in Eukaryota, Metazoa, Chordata, Mammalia, Rodentia, Cricetidae.